GAUGAAGAACGUAGCGAAAUGCGAUACUUGGUGUGAAUUGCAGAAUCCCGUGAACCAUCGAGUCUUUGAACGCAAGUUGCGCCCGAAGCCACUAGGCCGAGGGCACGCCUGCCUGGGCGUCACACGCCGUUGCCCCCCCAUCUACUCCUUCGGGAUCGCGGGGGGGCGGAUGAUGGCCUCCCGUGCGCCUAGCCGCGCGGUUGGCAUAAAUACUAAGUCCUCGGCGACGCACGCCACGACAAUCGGUGGUUGCGAAACCUCGGUUGCCCGUCGUGUGCGUUCGUCGCGCAUCGAGGGCUCGAAAAAAUGCUCGGCUCCGGCUGGGCUUUCAACGCGACCCCAGGUCAGGCGGGGUUACCCGCUGAAUUUAAGCAUAUCAAUAAGCGGAGGA
RNAcentral lists this unclassified non-coding RNA (391 nucleotides) under soil metagenome. RNAcentral's name for it is "partial contains 5.8S ribosomal RNA, internal transcribed spacer 2, and large subunit ribosomal RNA". The stretch from base 1 to 122 matches the Rfam family "5.8S ribosomal RNA", at positions 35 to 154 of the family's 154-position model. The record is from RNAcentral.